This 283-nucleotide long non-coding RNA is filed under the name Oryza brachyantha (malo sina). RNAcentral's name for it is "long non-coding RNA (OBRA_LNC002436)". The record is from RNAcentral. Lineage: Eukaryota; Viridiplantae; Streptophyta; Magnoliopsida; Poales; Poaceae.
CAUCAGGAUUCAGGAAAGCAUAUGUAGCUGAGACCAAAUCCAACCAUGACGCUAACAAGUGGCAGUGAUGUAUUGCUUGGCCUCUUUGGCUUCUAAACAUGGCCAAGAAUCGGUUGCCCUGCGAUUUUUCCGUGGGAAGGAGAACAACCUGAGCUCCUCGCUCUUCCCUUGCUCGGACCGCUUCUCAUCCACGUGCAAUCCUGCUGGCAGUUAAGCUCUCGUUGGGUGGCGCUGGCGGGUGGAGACAACGGCGCCAGGGAUGUCCUUCGUUGUUCAGCAUUUU